GACGAACGCUGGCGGCGUGCCUAAUACAUGCAAGUCGAGCGGACGAAUCGAAAGCUUGCUUUUGAUUCGUUAGCGGCGGACGGGUGAGUAACACGUGGGCAACCUGCCCUGUAGACGGGGAUAACACCGAGAAAUCGGUGCUAAUACCGGAUAACACGAAAUGUCGCAUGACGUUUCGUUGAAAGACGGCGCAAGCUGUCGCUACAGGAUGGGCCCGCGGCGCAUUAGCUAGUUGGUGAGGUAACGGCUCACCAAGGCGACGAUGCGUAGCCGACCUGAGGGGGUGAUCGGCCACACGGGGACUGAGACACGGCCCAGACUCCUACGGGAGGCAGCAGUAGGGAAUCUUCCGCAAUGGACGAAAGUCUGACGGAGCAACGCCGCGUGAGCGAAGAAGGCCUUCGGGUCGUAAAGCUCUGUUGUUAGGGAAGAACAAGUAACGCAGUAACUGGCGUUACCGUGACGGUACCUAACGAGAAAGCCACGGCUAACUACGUG
RNAcentral lists this ribosomal RNA (498 nucleotides) under uncultured bacterium. RNAcentral describes it as "partial 16S ribosomal RNA". It matches the Rfam family "Bacterial small subunit ribosomal RNA", at positions 28 to 507 of the family's 1533-position model. The record is from RNAcentral.